RNAcentral lists this ribosomal RNA (440 nucleotides) under uncultured bacterium. RNAcentral describes it as "partial 16S ribosomal RNA". It matches the Rfam family "Bacterial small subunit ribosomal RNA", at positions 338 to 795 of the family's 1533-position model. The record is from RNAcentral.
CCUACGGGAGGCUGCAGUGGGGAAUAUUGGACAAUGGGGGAAACCCUGAUCCAGCGACGCCGCGUGAGUGAAGAAGUAUUUCGGUACGUAAAGCUCUAUCAGCAGGAAAGAAAAUGACGGUACCUGACUAAGAAGCCCCGGCUAACUACGUGCCAGCAGCCGCGGUAAUACGUAGGGGGCAAGCGUUAUCCGGAUUUACUGGGUGUAAAGGGAGCGUAGACGGUGAUGCAAGUCAGAAGUGAAAGCCCGGGGCUCAACUCCGGGACUGCUUUUGAAACUGUGUAACUGGAGUGCAGGAGAGGUAAGCGGAAUUCCUGGUGUAGCGGUGAAAUGCGUAGAUAUCAGGAGGAACACCAGUGGCGAAGGCGGCUUACUGGACUGUAACUGACGUUGAGGCUCGAAAGCGUGGGGAGCAAACAGGAUUAGAUACCCCUGUAGUC